GGGAGUUUUAGUAUUGCAGAGAAGGAGAAGGAGUUGAACCGAGCAAAGAUUCUAUCCACACACAACAUUAUCUGAAGGUCCAGAUGACUUCUGAGACUACCCUCUCCCCAUUUCUAGGACUUAUGUCUCUCUUGUUCCCUUCCCAGGUUUGUUACGGCAAUGAAUGUGUGUCUGUUAAAACUGCCUUUGGCUAAUCUGGGUGUGACGGCAAGUGCUCAGGAAAUGGGGUACCAGUGACCAAGACCUAGAUGACCCUCCUCAUACUGAAUACUUUAAUGGAAUGGACACAAUGUAGAGGCUGAUCAACUGGUCCGAACCAAGAAUUGCUUAGAUUUUAGUGUAAAGAAUCAUUUUUAUUUAGAAACACAAACAAUAAAAAUAUAUAACACUCACAAAA
Long non-coding RNA from Xenopus laevis (African clawed frog), 397 nucleotides. RefSeq lists it as uncharacterized. The record is from RefSeq and is a predicted model, not a curated record. NCBI's taxonomy places the organism in Eukaryota, Metazoa, Chordata, Amphibia, Anura, Pipidae. The transcript has 2 exons.